GUCCCUCUGACUUUUCCGCUUGUGGGUAGUCUGCCAUCUCGUUAGAGCUGCACUAUACAACUUUGUGUUAACCCUUUCGCUACGUGGGCCUCGCCGCGGAGUCCCUCUCGUAGAACGAAACGCCGUGUCAAAGGUGAAAACUUUACGUGCGUGCGGUCUUCAGCAUUCGGCGCCAAGUCUUUUGUCGCAAAAACGCCGUUGUGACACUGCUUUUAGGAGCAAAAUGAUUUGUAUUCAUAGCAAUGUGUUUAUCAUUUUUCCAUGAACGUAUGUUUGUUAUUGUUUAUAUUGUCUUAACUUUUGGCUCCAUUUUUGUGACCGGUAACUAUAGUCACCCGUCAUGUGUAGGUGGUAUCUUGUGACCAGUGACUAUAGUCACUCGUAGUAGCGAAAGGGUUAAAAAGAACUUAUUGGGCAUAUGGUGAGGAUGACGAUGUUGCAAUUAUCCAAUGUUCAUCGUAGUAGUUAUUCGUGAUUAAAAAGGAUGUGCCAGUUAUCGCACAAUUAUAUAAUUAACUAAAAAAUGUAUAAAUAGAAGUUAUCAUUAAUUGAAUAACUCUUUAUUACAGUGAAGAGAAUUAAUUCGUUAUAAAUUUUACUUGUUGUAGUAUUCAUUCGUUAUAAAAGAAACAGAAAAUAUGUAAAAUAGAAGCAUGCAAGAAUACUUAUAUAUUAUAAAUUAAAUUUUGUAUUAUAUUUUAAUUUUAUAUAUUUAAAAAAUGGUUUUAAGCCUAUUGUAUUCCUCGCGUUUGAUGUAGCGUACUCUUCCAUUGUGAGAGUUUUGAUUUCAUGAAAUGCGAAAUUAUUAUGUAAAUAAGUACUUAGUAAUUAAGUAUAAAAUUAAUUUUAAUAUAAAUAAAAAAUAAAUAACUAACCAGAAAUACAUGCUAACCAUUGUCGCCAUUGUGUCCUAUUAGUUUCGCAGGCUUUAUCUUCUGAUAAAGGUAGUGACAUGAUAUUGUCUACAGCAGAUCCUUCCUUCCGCGAGUGAAUCUGCAAUAGGUGAUAAAACAGUUUUUAAAUGAAGCACAAACCACUGACUAUGAUGUAUGGAUUAACGAUGUAAUGGGUGGUGUUAGCAAAUCCUUUAAACUAGUAUCCAUUCUUUGCUGACAUGGAAUAAUAAAAAUUAGUCUAACUUGAGUUUUUCUAGGAACUGAAGUGUAUAGAAGCGUGAAAUGUAUGAAGGUGUAAAUCAAUUUGAACGGUGAACUACUAUAUAAGUGCACUGACCUAUAUAAGUAUCUAAGCCUGCAGCAUGGAAAAUGUUAUAAAAUGUUAUGAAAAAUAUUUAGAAAGGUGGCGACUGAAAGGCGCCUCUCGAAUGCAACAAAGGGUUAAAAUCGUUCCAGUCAAUAGCGACAAUGACGACUGAAGAGAACAUUUUAAAAUUCUUACGCCCCUGCAUCAUCCUUCUUGAAGGAUGCUCCAAACCAGUAUUUCCUAAUGUGGGGGGAUAAAAAUUUUAGAAAGGCUUAGGUGGGACAUGUCACAAAAAAGGUUGAGAAACGCUGCUCCAAACCCACUGGCCACACCCCCGAAAAGGGUGUCAAUAAAGUCUAUGCGGAAGACGAUGGCCGGAUCUGCAGUUUUCGAUAUAACACAAGGGUUUUUCCUGGAACCGCUGGAGGAACAACGGAAUCGGCCUGCCGAGGGGAAUCGGCAGUUUCCCUAAAAACCGACGGCAUUUCUGUUGCAGCUCUCGUACGGAACACUUCUGCAAUCGACACUCGGAAAAACAUCCUCGCAGCGAAAUAUAUUCUAGCGUUUAAAAUAUAACGCCACAGAACAAUAUAAACUACGAUCAUUGAAAUGAUAGAUAAUCUUAGCGAAGAGAAAGUCGAACACUGGUCAUCUGCGUUUCUAUGACGUGUGUACAUACGAAUAUCAUUUAAAAAUUAGGAAUUUUUAAGCUAUCCAAUGAACUUUAAUUUAAUAACUGAAAAUUGGUACCGUUCAGUUUCUUACGACACAAAGUUUUGAUUUAUGAGUAAACAUACAACAGAUCUUUGUAUAUAAACAAUUUACAGAGGCCAACCAAUAAUUGUCAAUUAAUAAAUGGUUUCCAAAAUUGAAAACAUAAUCAGUUUUUUAAAAUAAAUUUUAUCAAAGUUUGACGAACACAAAACAUGUGUUUUACAAUUGUAUCCAGCAUACAAAAUUCUCUAAAAAUGAUUUAUUGGUUUUUGAAAAACAAAACACGUAGCGCCAUCAAACUUUUAAUAUUUAUUAAUGUGCGCUACGAAUCGUCAAACACCAUAGAAUACCCGCCUCAUAAAUUAUAAAUCCUAGGAACGUUUGAUUUUUAUCAUCAUCAAAUACUCGCUAGAUAUUAACCAAUCAACGUUGGAAAUGAAUAAAAUGAAAAUGUAUACGCCGUCUACGUAAGUAACUGUAAUAGAAAACUUCAGAGGUCAACACGCAAACAGUGCGCAAGGCUGACGCAAUCAAAGUCCAGUUUCAUCAGUUAAGAUGCGACAUAUUUCCGAUAAACUAACUUUUAUGUAGGAUUGGGGCAACGUAGUGGACUUUAAUAUUAACCAAAGUUUAUUAAACUAAGUAAUUAAAACAUGCGUGUAUCUGCCGUUUAUACUAUUCUCUGCUUCGCUUAUCCUGACUUCGACCAAGUUCACACUGUCUUCGCUUAUCACGUUCGCUGCCAGCGUUUACUUCGGUGACGGUCUCCUCAAUUAAAAUAUUUUCUUCAAUCCAAUAAAUCUUCUAAACAAAAUAUUAGAAAAAUGAAACUGAAAUGAGUCAUUAGGUUUCUAAACAUAAUGUAGUUUAUCAUUUCUAAUAACAAUAUCUGUGGGAUUAAUUUCAUUUUCAUUAUGUAAAGUAUAGGAUUACGGCCGUCACAAAUAUUUAACGCUGGCAGCGAACUUAUUAUAUCGUCAUACUGUUACUUGAUAUCUCCAGUCUUUCUCUUAUAUACAUUUUUUGGUAUCACUUUUUCACUGGUGCGUUUUUUAUGGAUUUUUGUUCGUUCGGUCGUAGAUGUAUAGAUUUGCUUUUAAAUUUUCGUGUGUCGGUUCAUAUGUAAGUUAUCGGGAAUUCUUUUAAAAUGUCAUUAAAAGAUACACCAGAUAAUCAAAUUUAUAAAUUGAUUGAAUAAUACAUUUAAACAUGAUUAUUUAAAUAUAUAAUUUCAAACGCAUUAUAUCUCAAAUUCAAAAUAAACCGUUAGGUUAAGCGCAGUAAUGAUAAAAAAUAAAAAAGAUUAUUUUGAAACGUUUUAACUGAUUAUAAAACAGUUAUUUUCGCCGAGUUAUUUUUAAGAUGCAUAGAUAUUAAAACUAAAUCCAGUUGUUCCAAAUAUCACUUCUCACGACACACACGUAUCGUAUAACAAAGGAAUUUCCGUAUUUAACUAUAUCUGAAAUAAGUUUGUAAUAAAUGUUUCUCAUGUCUCAUUAUGUGCGAUUAAGUUUACAAAGAGCAAUAUAGAUAAGCAUGCAACUAGCACGGUUUCGUGGUUCGGUAACAUAACCUAACUGAGUUCUAAAGUUGGCGUGGCUUCCUCGGACAAAAUGUGAUGGAACAUAUAGAAGGUUUGAAUUGUUGAAUGUCGGUGCAUCAGUGGAUCAAGAAAUGACAGGAAAUAGCUCGAUCAAAGCAAAGACAAUUAACGCGUUGAAUGUUGCACGAUUUCUUAAAACAAAAUCCACGAAAUGAAAAAAAUAUAAUAUUAAGUCAUUCGAUUGAAUUGCAUUAUUAUUAUUGUACGUUCAUCUAGCUAAAUGUCGCCGCCUCAGAUAGCAUUAUGUAUAAUAUAGAAAUGUGUUCAAAUAAUCAUCGUUUAAUUGAGUGAACUAUAGUAAUUUAAUUUAAUUUAUGUGUCACCGAUGACCCCCAUGGUAUUCAACGUGUUAAUAUAUAAAAAUUAAAUAUUUAAUUUAAAAAGUUGGCAUUAUUUAUAAUAUAGAUAUGUUCUCAAAUAAUCAUCGUUUAAUCAAAUGAAUUAUAAUAAUUCGAUUUGUUUGAGGUCACCAGCGACCCCGUGGCAUCCAACGUGUUAAUGUAACUGUCAAAUAUUACAAGAAUUGUACGUUUUGAAUAACAUUUUUCUUCGAGAAAAAAUGUCGCUGAUAUUUAGUUCAAAUGAAUUUUGGGCAAUAAUACAAUAAAUGCAUUCUCCUCCUAAAAGUACCGAUAUCUAUUAUCCGAGUGAAACUUAUUUCUAUAUGUACGAGGAAAAGUAUAGAACUGCCGCGAUCGGGUCAAAGCUUUUGUAACGAAGCGUAUCCGUGUGAAAUUAGGAAAGAUGUCGGCCGUGCGGUUAUGCUUUGGGUGUCUUAUGGACGCUCGCACGUGUGUAGAAUUCAUUAUAGUGGUAGCAAAAGUUUUUCACGAUUACCUUUGAAACUAAAUGUCAGUGAUACUGUUUUCGAAGAAACAAGUUGUUCAAAAUGUGCAUUUAUGCAAUAUUUAAUGGUUUUAUUAAAAUCGGUUACUGUGAGGAUCUACUGAGGUUUCAUCCCCGUCAUUUCCUAAGUGCUUGCGUUGAGAUGAUUCAGUUUACGAUACCUUUUAUUAAAAUAUAUACACCGAUUCUCUUAUUUUCCCUUUUGUUUCUGUAUUUUUGUUCAGUUUUUGAUAAAAUGCAACUGAAAAAUGCUACAGCGCACAAUUCAAAAUACCGUUAUACUAAUAAACAGUACACAAAUGUUGUCAUAUUACAUUAGUAUACUUGUACCUUACACAUAAUCAUAAAUAGUUUGAAAUAUAUUUAAUUAGCAAAAAUAAAUUAAUUUUUAUAAAAAUAAAAGUCUUAUAUAUGUAUAUACAGUGAGUCACAG
Non-coding RNA from Nomia melanderi (Alkali bee), 4799 nucleotides. The record is from RefSeq and is a predicted model, not a curated record. Lineage: Eukaryota; Metazoa; Arthropoda; Insecta; Hymenoptera; Halictidae.